CGUAGGUGGCAAGCGUUGUCCGGAUUUUAUCGGGUUUAAAGGGUGCGUAGGCGGUUCUGUAAGUCAGUGGUGAAAUCCGGCAGCUCAACUGUCGAUGUGCCAUUGAUACUGCAGAACUUGAGUACAGACGAGGUAGGCGGAAUUGACGGUGUAGCGGUGAAAUGCUUAGAUAUCGUCAAGAACACCGAUAGCGAAGGCAGCUUACUAGACUGUAACUGACGCUGAUGCACGAAAGUGUGGGGAUCAAACAGGAUUAGAUACCCUGGUAGUCCACACUGUAAACGAUGAUUACUCGAUGUUAGCGAUACACAGUUAGCGUCUUAGCGAAAGCGAUAAGUAAUCCACCUGGGGAGUACGCCGGCAACGGUG
Molecule: ribosomal RNA, 369 nt
Filed under: uncultured organism
Description: bacterial SSU rRNA
Rfam family: Bacterial small subunit ribosomal RNA
Source: RNAcentral